GUGAAUCAUCGAGUCUUUGAACGCACCUUGCGCCUCAUGGUAUUCCGCGAGGCAUGCCUGUUUGAGUGUCAUUAAAUUAUCAACCUCAGAAGCUUUUAUAGUUUUCUGAUGGCUUGGACUUGAGGUGUGCUGGACUUUCAUUAGUUCGGCUUCCCUUUUAAAUGCAUUCAGCGGUAGCCACUCGCUUCCGGCUAACAUCGACGUGAUAAUUAUCUUACAUCGUUGUCUACCGGUCCCAGAGUCCGCUUAUAAUGGUCUUCGGACAGCACACAAUGAUCAAUUUGACCUCAAAUCAGGUAGGACUACCCGCUGAACUUAAGCAUAUCAAUAAGCGGAGG
This 338-nucleotide ribosomal RNA is filed under the name uncultured fungus. Its description in RNAcentral is "eukaryotic LSU rRNA". The stretch from base 1 to 71 matches the Rfam family "5.8S ribosomal RNA", at positions 84 to 154 of the family's 154-position model. The record is from RNAcentral. Lineage: Eukaryota; Fungi.